This 501-nucleotide ribosomal RNA is filed under the name uncultured bacterium. Its description in RNAcentral is "bacterial SSU rRNA". It matches the Rfam family "Bacterial small subunit ribosomal RNA", at positions 28 to 481 of the family's 1533-position model. The record is from RNAcentral.
GAUGAACGCUGGCGGCGUGCCUAAUACAUGCAAGUCGAACGCAUUGUGGUUGAAAUGAUAUGAAGAACUUGUUCAGAUUUGAUUUUCAACAUUGCAAUGAGUGGCGAACGGGUGAGUAACACGUGGGAAACCUACCUCUUAGCAGGGGAUAACAUUUGGAAACAAAUGCUAAUACCGUAUAAUAAUUAAAACCGCAUGGUUUUAGUUUAAAAGAUGGUCUUGCUAUCACUAAGAGAUGGUCCCGCGGUGUAUUAGUUAGUUGGUGAGGUAAUGGCUCACCAAGACAAUGAUACAUAGCCGAGUUGAGAGACUGACCGGCCACAAUGGGACUGAGACACGGCCCAUACUCCUACGGGAGGCAGCAGUUAGGGAAUCUUCCACAAUGGACGAAAGUCUGAUGGAGCAACGCCGCGUGUGUGAUGAAGGGUUUCGGCUCGUAAAACACUGUUGUAAGAGAAGAAUGACAUUGAGAGUAAACUGUUCAAUGUGUGACGGUAUCUU